CCUACGGGAGGCAGCAGUGGGGAAUCUUGCGCAAUGGGCGAAAGCCUGACGCAGCGACGCCGCGUGAGGGAUGAAGGCCCUCGGGUUGUAAACCUCUUUCGGCAGGGAAGAAGCCGCAAGGUGACGGUACCUGCAGAAGAAGCCCCGGCCAACUACGUGCCAGCAGCCGCGGUAAU
This 176-nucleotide ribosomal RNA is filed under the name uncultured Actinoplanes sp. RNAcentral's name for it is "partial 16S ribosomal RNA". It matches the Rfam family "Bacterial small subunit ribosomal RNA", at positions 338 to 524 of the family's 1533-position model. Lineage: Bacteria; Bacillati; Actinomycetota; Actinomycetes; Micromonosporales; Micromonosporaceae. The record is from RNAcentral.